RNAcentral lists this transfer RNA (73 nucleotides) under Anolis gingivinus. RNAcentral's name for it is "tRNA-Asn". Lineage: Eukaryota; Metazoa; Chordata; Lepidosauria; Squamata; Anolidae. The record is from RNAcentral.
CUGAAUAGGCGGGCCUUGAUCCCACAACAAAUUAAUUAACAGCUAACCACCCAAACCAGCGGGCUUCUAUUCG